AACGAACGCUGGCGGCAGGCCUAACACAUGCAAGUCGAGCGAGACCUUCGGGUCUAGCGGCGGACGGGUGAGUAACGCGUGGGAACGUGCCCUUCUCUACGGAAUAGUCCCGGGAAACUGGGUUUAAUACCGUAUACGCCCUUUUGGGGGAAAGAGUUUAUCGGAGAAGGAUCGGCCCGCGUUAGAUUAGGAGUUGGUGGGGUAACGGCCUACCAAGCCUACGAUCUAUAGCUGGUUUUAGAGGAUGAUCAGCAACACUGGGACUGAGACACGGCCCAGACUCCUACGGGAGGCAGCAGUGGGGAAUCUUAGACAAUGGGGGCAACCCUGAUCUAGCCAUGCCGCGUGAGCGAUGAAGGCCUUAGGGUCGUAAAGCUCUUUCGCCUGUGAUGAUAAUGACAGUAGCAGGUAAAGAAACCCCGGCUAACUCCGUG
RNAcentral lists this ribosomal RNA (434 nucleotides) under uncultured bacterium. RNAcentral describes it as "bacterial SSU rRNA". It matches the Rfam family "Bacterial small subunit ribosomal RNA", at positions 29 to 507 of the family's 1533-position model. The record is from RNAcentral.